CAGUCGCCGCGGUAAUACGUAGGGUGCGAGCAUUGUCCGGAAUUAUUGGGCGUAAAGAGCUUGUAGGUGGUUUGUCGCGUCUGCUGUGAAAAUCCGAGGCUCAACCUCGGACUUGCAGUGGGUACGGACAGACUAGAGUGUGGUAGGGGAGACUGGAAUUCCUGGUGUAGCGGUGGAAUGCGCAGAUAUCAGGAGGAUCACCGAUGGCGAAGGCAGGUCUCUGGGCCAUUACUGACACUGAGAAGCGAAAGCAUGGGGAGCGAACAGGAUUAGAUACCCCCGUAGUCCCUGUCUCUUAUAC
Molecule: ribosomal RNA, 301 nt
Filed under: uncultured bacterium
Lineage: Bacteria
Description: partial 16S ribosomal RNA
Rfam family: Bacterial small subunit ribosomal RNA
Source: RNAcentral